This 20-nucleotide non-coding RNA is filed under the name Rattus norvegicus (Norway rat). Lineage: Eukaryota; Metazoa; Chordata; Mammalia; Rodentia; Muridae. The record is from RNAcentral.
GCUAAAGGUCUUGAUGGAGA